This 132-nucleotide long non-coding RNA is filed under the name Homo sapiens (human). RNAcentral describes it as "HSALNT0294613". The record is from RNAcentral. Lineage: Eukaryota; Metazoa; Chordata; Mammalia; Primates; Hominidae.
CAGAAAAAAAAAAUCAAGUGCAAAGAUCCUGAGGUGGGAAUCUACAUAAAGGCUCAAAAACAACAAGAAGAUUGUGGAAAAAAAAAAAAAAAAAAAAAAAAAAAAAAAAAAAAAAAAAAAAAAAAAAAGACU